AAGUCGUAACAAGGUUUCCGUAGGUGAACCUGCGGAAGGAUCAUUAAUGAGUUAGGGUCUUCCAGGCCCGAUCUCCAACCCUUUGUAUAACUACCAUGUUGCUUUGGCGGGCCCGUCCUUGACCGGACCGUCGGGGGUCUUCGACCUCUGGCCAGUGCCCGUCAGUAGCCCACAACAAAUUCUUUUUAACCAUGUUAAAUCUGAAAAUAGUUAAAUAAACUAAAACUUUCAACAACGGAUCUCUUGGUUCUG
Molecule: unclassified non-coding RNA, 252 nt
Filed under: Cladophialophora sp.
Lineage: Eukaryota; Fungi; Ascomycota; Eurotiomycetes; Chaetothyriales; Herpotrichiellaceae
Description: partial contains small subunit ribosomal RNA, internal transcribed spacer 1, and 5.8S ribosomal RNA
Rfam family: Eukaryotic small subunit ribosomal RNA (bases 1-46)
Source: RNAcentral